RNAcentral lists this ribosomal RNA (253 nucleotides) under uncultured bacterium. RNAcentral describes it as "partial 16S ribosomal RNA". It matches the Rfam family "Bacterial small subunit ribosomal RNA", at positions 524 to 776 of the family's 1533-position model. The record is from RNAcentral.
UACGUCGGUGGCAAGCGUUGUCCGGAAUUACUGGGUGUAAAGAGCGUGUAGGCGGGACUGCAAGUCAGAUGUGAAAUUCCCAGGCUCAACCUGGGGGCUGCAUCUGAAACUGUGGUUCUUGAGUGCUGGAGAGGAAAGCGGAAUUCCUAGUGUAGCGGUGAAAUGCGUAGAUAUUAGGAGGAACACCAGUGGCGAAGGCGGCUUUCUGGACAGUAACUGACGCUGAGGCGAGAAAGCGUGGGGAGCAAACAGG